This 900-nucleotide long non-coding RNA is filed under the name Coffea arabica (coffee). RNAcentral's name for it is "long non-coding RNA (CARA_LNC001531)". The record is from RNAcentral. Lineage: Eukaryota; Viridiplantae; Streptophyta; Magnoliopsida; Gentianales; Rubiaceae.
UUUUGAUUAACCUGUAUGGACACCAUCUAAACAAGUCUAUGCUGGCGCAAGCCCUUCCCAAAGUGAGGCUGCAUCAAGCGCACGUACAAACCAUUUUUAGCCAUUAACGAAUCAUGCGCACCUUCCUCAACUAUUCUCCCUCCAUUCAGUACAACAAUGUUGUCAACAUGUCUCAUCAUGGCAGCUCGGUGAGCAAUCAAGAUAGUUGUUUUAUUUCCCAUGAUCAGAGUAUCAAGAGCCUCCUGCACCACUCGGCUAGACUCAGAUUCAAUGGCUGAGCUUGCUUCAUCCAAUAACAAUAUUGGAGCAUUCUUUAAUACGACCCGAGCAAUUGCAAUUCUUUGUUUUUGCCCUGGGGUCAGAUCUACACCUCUCAUUCCAACAUGGGUGUCAUAACCAUGAGGCAAGCUACUAAUGAAAUGAUGUGCAUUGGCUAUUCUUGCUGCCUCUUUCAUCUCAGCUUCACUCGCGUUGUGCCUUGCAUAUAUUAUGUUCUCUCUUAUUGUAGUUGAGAAGAUAAUAGGCUCCUGUUGGACAAGACCCAAGUGGUUCCUCAACCAUCUCAAAUUAUAUGAUUUCAAAUCUCUGCCAUCCAACAGUACCUGUCCAGCAACCGGAUCAUAGAACCUUUGUAUCAAGGAUAUAAUAGUGCUCUUACCAGACCCUGAAACCCCCACCACUGCCACAGUUUGUCCUCCAUUGACUUUGAGACUGAAAUUGCUCAGAACUAACACUUCUGGUCGAGAUGGGUAAGAAAAAUCGACAUUUUUCAGCUCAAUGCUUCCAUAAACAUUGGGAGGUUUCAUUGCUGAGUUAUCAUCAGGAUCAAUCUUAGGAACUCGAUCAAUGAUUUCAAAUACUGAGGCAAGGGAUUUCCUUCUUUUCAAAAUAUAGGGAGCC